UUGAAGAGCAAGGGUGCUCUUCUCCCUGCUGAUGCCUCUGCUGACGUCAAUGGCAUUCUUAUCAUGCUUAGCGCGACAUCAGAAACCAACCCUCAGAGGCUACUCUUGUUCAGAGCACUUGGGCUUCUGAUAAUCUCCGGACUGGAUCCUGCUCUAGCAGAAGGGAUUGCACAGACUGCUGUAGUCUCUAGUUUCUGCGGACACAGGGUAACUAAAUUUGGAGCUCAGAUGUACUUGCAGCAAUACAAUUUGUUUUCCUUGAAAACAGGAUCGGCAGGUCUGGGAGAGUAGAUGACGUUGACUAUUUAAUGAGCAUUCAUCCUGAUUUGUUUGCAGGGAGGGCGGCUGGGAGCACUCCCUCUCACAAAGACACAGUGACCACACCCUGGAUCCACUCAGUCAUAUCCCCUUGGCAAGCUUUAAUAAGCCAAGAGGGUCAAGAAGAUAUGUUGUUGAUCACAUUGUUGCAAGUACCUUAUCCGUGUCAUCAGGCUGCAUCAACUGAAACUGAUCCCAGGAAGUUGCAGCAGACAUUGCACUGGACACCUCAAUGGGGACUACAGUAGAUGUGGAUGGGGCAUCAAGAUUGCUACAGAGGUGAGCCUUGCAAACAAUUUAUAGUGGGCUUCCGAAGGGUCUAAAUCUCCAUUUCCUGGAGUAGAUGUUAACAGACUCUGGACAAUAUGAAAAGGUUUUGAUAACUGGUAUAUUGAAAGUUGUGUAAUUGAUAUUUUAAAUAGUUAAAUUAUGGUUUGAUUUUGUUCUUAGCUCUCUUGAGCUCUUUAUGAGAAAAGGUGGGGAGCAUAUGUUUUAAAUAAAUGAAAUGUUUACACCCUGUUAGGAUCUAAACCCUAUUCAGGCAUGCUGCUCAUACAUAAAGGCUAUGGGCAAGAAGGGGAAGUGGGGACAAGCACACUAUGCUCCCCCACCCUUGUGAAUUGGGGGGUGAAGUUUAAAGCAGGAACUGUCCUCUGCCAUUAGAGGAGAACCUGUUUGAUGGUGGUGCCAAAUCUGUGGAAAGCCUGUGCUGGGGAGACUCAUUAGCUAAAUGUUCACAGCCUAUUUAUUCAAGCCAAAUUUUAAUGUCUGAGAGAUUUGUUGACUCCUAUAUAAUGCAUACACUGGAAUUGGGUAUAUUGUUUUUAUGUUUUUGUUUGUAUUUACAGUUUUUAAUGACUGAUGCUGUUAUAUAUUGUAUUUGGAGGGCUUAUGAGUUUCUGUGAAUAUAUUUAACUGAG
Long non-coding RNA from Rhineura floridana, 1238 nucleotides. RefSeq lists it as uncharacterized. The record is from RefSeq and is a predicted model, not a curated record. The transcript is spliced from 4 exons. NCBI's taxonomy places the organism in Eukaryota, Metazoa, Chordata, Lepidosauria, Squamata, Rhineuridae.